GACGAACCGUGCGAACGUUGUUCGGAUUCACUGGGCUUAAAGGGCGCGUAGGCGGGCCAUCAAGUCAGGGGUGAAAUCUUUCGGCUCAACCGGAAAAGUGCCUUUGAUACUGGUGGCCUCGAGGGAGGUAGGGGCAUGCGGAACUUCCGGUGGAGCGGUGAAAUGCGUAGAUAUCGGAAGGAACGCCGGUGGCGAAAGCGACGUGCUGGACCUCUUCUGACGCUGAGGCGCGAAAGCCAGGGGAGCAAACGGG
RNAcentral lists this ribosomal RNA (253 nucleotides) under uncultured bacterium. Its description in RNAcentral is "partial 16S ribosomal RNA". It matches the Rfam family "Bacterial small subunit ribosomal RNA", at positions 524 to 776 of the family's 1533-position model. The record is from RNAcentral.